GUGGCUCAAAGGAGUAGGGCGCUGGACUCAUAUACCAGAGGUCGUGGGUUCAAACCCAACC
RNAcentral lists this transfer RNA (61 nucleotides) under Otolemur garnettii (small-eared galago). It matches the Rfam family "tRNA", at positions 7 to 64 of the family's 71-position model. From Rfam's summary of the family: Transfer RNA (tRNA) molecules are approximately 80 nucleotides in length. Their secondary structure includes four short double-helical elements and three loops (D, anti-codon, and T loops). The record is from Rfam by way of RNAcentral. Lineage: Eukaryota; Metazoa; Chordata; Mammalia; Primates; Galagidae.